AUGAGGGAGCCACGGCCACGACGAAGUCCGUGCAAGCAGCCGACGACGGAGAAACACGGCCAGCCAUGGCGCCGCCGGACGAACAGCAGCACGCGAGAUGCCAAGCUUCUCUCUAGCGAUAGUGCCGUGCCGUCGCCGCAGCCGGCCAAGGCUACAGGGGGACUACUUGCUGGGGCAACGACGAGCUUCUCCGAGGACGAGGAGGACCUCCUCAUCAAGUUGCACGCUUUGCUCGGAAACCGCUGGCCCAUCAUCGCCGGGAGGCUGCCUGGGAGGACGGGCGAGGAGGUGGAGGCCCACUGGGGUUCGCCGGCGAUGAGGAGGCGCACGGGCGGCGCCGAUCCCGACGGCCAUCGUGCACUACUGCAGGCUUUGCUAGCCUCCUCACAUGAUCAGCACGGCGAGCAUCUGCAAAGGACCGUGCCAAACCAAGUACGCGACGAGCGCCCCGGCCGUCCUACCGACGACAGUGCAGUGUCGGACGCCGGAAGCAGCAGAGCCUGCGCAUUAUCGGACGCCGACAGCAGGUGCCUCUCUGAACUGAACCUGGAGCUCACCCUCCCUACGCCGUGCAGUGCGUCUACUUGA
Molecule: ribosomal RNA, 588 nt
Filed under: Triticum aestivum (bread wheat)
Lineage: Eukaryota; Viridiplantae; Streptophyta; Magnoliopsida; Poales; Poaceae
Description: partial small subunit ribosomal RNA
Source: RNAcentral